GACGAACGCUGGCGGCGUGCCUAAUACAUGCAAGUCGAGCGAGUCUGCCUUGAAGAUCGGAGUGCUUGCACUCUGUGAAACAAGAUACAGGCUAGCGGCGGACGGGUGAGUAACACGUGGGUAACCUGCCCAAGAGAUCGGGAUAACACCUGGAAACAGAUGCUAAUACCGGAUAACAACAGAUGAUGCCUAUCAACUGUUUAAAAGAUGGUUCUGCUAUCACUCUUGGAUGGACCUGCGGUGCAUUAGCUAGUUGGUAGGGUAACGGCCUACCAAGGCGAUGAUGCAUAGCCGAGUUGAGAGACUGAUCGGCCACAUUGGGACUGAGACACGGCCCAAACUCCUACGGGAGGCAGCAGUAGGGAAUCUUCCACAAUGGACGCAAGUCUGAUGGAGCAACGCCGCGUGAGUGAAGAAGGGUUUCGGCUCGUAAAGCUCUGUUGUUGGUGAAGAAGGACAGGGGUAGUAACUGACCUUUGUUUGACGGUAAUCAAUUAGAAAGUCACGGCUAACUAAGUG
RNAcentral lists this ribosomal RNA (519 nucleotides) under uncultured bacterium. RNAcentral describes it as "partial 16S ribosomal RNA". It matches the Rfam family "Bacterial small subunit ribosomal RNA", at positions 28 to 507 of the family's 1533-position model. The record is from RNAcentral.